CGGUACAGCGGGAUGCGACAUGGCGACAUGGAGCGGAUCCCUGAAAACCGGUCUCAGUUCGGAUCGGAGCCUGCAACCCGGCUCCGUGAAGGCGGAGUCGCUAGUAAUCGCGGAUCAGCAACGCCGCGGUGAAUGCGUUCCCGGGCCUUGUACACACCGCCCGUCAAGUCAUGAAAGUGGGCAGCACCCGAAGCCGGUGGCCUAACCCCUUGUGGGAUGGAGCCGUCUAAGGUGAGGCUCGUGAUUGGGACUAAGUCGUAACAAGGUAGCCGUACCGGAAGGUGCGGCUGGAUCACCUCCUUUCUACGGAGAUUUCAGGCCACUGUCUGGUGGCCGGUGUGUGCCCCCUUGCCCCGGAUGUGCCGGGUGUGUGGGGGUUGCUGGUGUGGAAGAGUGGAGUCGGCCUUCGGGCGUGCCGGUCGUGCGGUGCGUCCAGGAGUGGUGCGGGCAUGCUUUUGGGUUCCCGGACCGCCACCCCGCGCCGUUUGGCGUGGCUGGUGUUCCGUGCCCCGUGCCGGUCGCCCGUCCCCUGGUGGGGUGGGUGGGCUCGCGUGCGGGUGCGUGGUGGUUUGAGAACUGGAUAGUGGACGCGAGCAGGGGACGCCCUUUCGGGGGUGUCUUCUGCUGUUGAUUUCGCCGGACUCUUCGGAGUCUGGUGUUUGAUCGUUUUGUGUGUGAUCAUUUGUGUGAUGAUUUGUGUUGCCAGCGGAGUUUUUGCCGUGGGCUUGCGGUUUC
RNAcentral lists this unclassified non-coding RNA (735 nucleotides) under Bifidobacterium bifidum. RNAcentral's name for it is "partial contains 16S ribosomal RNA and 16S-23S ribosomal RNA intergenic spacer". The stretch from base 1 to 303 matches the Rfam family "Bacterial small subunit ribosomal RNA", at positions 1235 to 1533 of the family's 1533-position model. The record is from RNAcentral. Lineage: Bacteria; Bacillati; Actinomycetota; Actinomycetes; Bifidobacteriales; Bifidobacteriaceae.